This 250-nucleotide ribosomal RNA is filed under the name uncultured bacterium. RNAcentral describes it as "partial 16S ribosomal RNA". It matches the Rfam family "Bacterial small subunit ribosomal RNA", at positions 524 to 773 of the family's 1533-position model. The record is from RNAcentral.
UACGAAGGGUGCAAGCGUUAAUCGGAAUUACUGGGCGUAAAGCGUGCGUAGGCGGUUUGUUAAGUCCGAUGUGAAAGCCCUGGGCUCAACCUGGGAAUGGCACUGGAUACUGGCAGGCUAGAAUGUGGUAGAGGGGUGCGGAAUUUCCGGUGUAGCGGUGAAAUGCGUAGAGAUCGGAAGGAACAUCCGUGGCGAAGGCGGCACCCUGGACCAACAUUGACGCUGAGGCACGAAAGCGUGGGGAGCAAAC